Cladophialophora chaetospira is the source of this 102-nucleotide non-coding RNA. The record is from the annotation of a GenBank genome assembly. NCBI's taxonomy places the organism in Eukaryota, Fungi, Ascomycota, Eurotiomycetes, Chaetothyriales, Herpotrichiellaceae.
GCGGGGUUAGUGCAGUGGUUAGCACGUUUCGUUGUGGUGUUAGGCACUUGUUGAGCUCAAGUACUUCCCGAAGAGACCCUGGUUCGAAUCCAGGACCUCGCA